CCUCCAUAGUUGAGCUAUUCCAGUCCAUCCAAUUUCAUUCAUCCCAAAUCCCAACCAAAAACAACAAUUAAUGACGCAAUCUCAAUUACAAAGCAGCAUGCUGCUAUCCUAGAUCUUAUUAACAAUUCAACAUCGAAAUAAUCCCAGAGCUCAUCCGGAGAAUCAUGUUUCUCCAUUUCAUAGCUCACAUCAAUGACAACUUUUAGACAAAUAUUCAUUAAGGAAGCUCACAACACUAACUCAAUGCCAGUGCUGAAAUGGAGUCAUCGGAAAGAUUUAAAAACACCAAACAGCAGGGGAAUGACGAUGAAAGCUAAACACAUUUACAGUAAUUAUGAUUACAAGCUUACCAUCUUUUUACACAUACUAAUGAGCUCAGCAUGUACAGUUCAGCCAACCAUAAGUGAUGAGGCUUUCAGAUGUCACAUAAGAGGGCAAGGGNAUGAGGCUUUCAGAUGUCACAUAAGAGGGCAAGGGAAAAAAAAAAAAAGCAACCAACUAUACCAAGUUUACACCCUCUCAAUCAAAAUCUUUUAUGUACUGGCUAAACUACACAGGAAGCACAUUUCAAAGGCCCCAACUCCAACUC
RNAcentral lists this long non-coding RNA (589 nucleotides) under Daucus carota (carrot). RNAcentral describes it as "long non-coding RNA (DCAR_LNC004510)". Lineage: Eukaryota; Viridiplantae; Streptophyta; Magnoliopsida; Apiales; Apiaceae. The record is from RNAcentral.